Small nucleolar RNA from Neltuma alba, 105 nucleotides. RefSeq annotates it as small nucleolar RNA snoR113. The transcript has a single exon. The record is from RefSeq and is a predicted model, not a curated record. NCBI's taxonomy places the organism in Eukaryota, Viridiplantae, Streptophyta, Magnoliopsida, Fabales, Fabaceae.
UGGCAAUGAUGAAUUAAAGGCUGGACCAGUGGCUGCCAUUUAGUUAACUAGUAGUAGAUUGAUGAUUUGUUACCCGGGGGGUUUAAGGUGUAUGUUCUAAGCCAG